CCCACCCGCUGGUACGAGCCAAUGCGGGCUGGGCAGUCAUUCUAAGAGAAGCGAGAACGCUAAACGAGGGCAUAUCAAGAAUCCAUGAGAACUCAUGCCCACAUCAGGUUCCGUAUCCAUGAUACCAAGCAAUACUCAAUGGUCCACACCACCGACGCAAGCAUUGGUGAUGUGGUUCAAAGAGACAGCUUCAGGGUCCAUCUUGUGCCAUGUAAAUGGCACACGACGAAAUCGACUUCGAUCCGUCAAGACAAUACCGUCACAUAGGUAGGCANCACAGGAAACCGACAAUCCACUUAGGCAAUACAUGCCUAGGCAGGMAACUGAARAGGUAUGCCGGGUGGAAGUUGUU
This 352-nucleotide unclassified non-coding RNA is filed under the name Trigonopterum laricifolium. RNAcentral describes it as "partial external transcribed spacer". The record is from RNAcentral. Lineage: Eukaryota; Viridiplantae; Streptophyta; Magnoliopsida; Asterales; Asteraceae.